UGCCUCACUUAUCUGUCAUCAUGGCUUAUCCACACAGAACGUUGCUGAAGGGGCCACUUCCUGGACACAUACAUGAGCAAACUGAGCAAGCGUUCUCAGCUCUCUCAGAGGCCUUGGAACUGACUGUCCUCACUCCUGUUCCCUGUGGAGAAUCCCAGGAUCUAACCAGCCCCAUGGUCAAAUGGAUAGGGAGAAAAGAACUUGCUGACCCAUCCCUCUCUUUCUUCCUGACCUGAUGUGGAUAUAUGGCCUGGUCCUGUGGCUGCCACCAUGUGACAUGAGGUACAAAAUAUUAGAUUGGAAAGACAACAGCCAAAAAUGGUAGGGCAGAAAAAUAGAAAGAAAAAUACUGUCUUUGAUGACAUCAAUGAACAGCUACAUCAGUACCAGCAGUCACCUCUCUCCAGUCUUCUUGUUAAUGAGAUAUUACACGUCUGUAUUGUUUAGGCCAUUUUUUAACUUGGACUAUGUAUUACUGUUUCAUACUGAAGUUGAUACACGCAUCUUUCUGAGAGCUUCCUAAGACACACACUGAGUUAUGGUGAAAAAUAUAUUCAAAUUAUAUCCCCACAUUAAAUGCAAAAUUAGAUUUCAUAUGGUUGUUUCUUGUAGCACCUUUUAAUGUAUACCUAGGAUAUAAUACCAAACCCUAACUCAGUGAAAACAAUUAUAUAACAGAUAUAGGGCCAUGGGGUCUUAAUAGUUUUUUGUUGUUGUUGUUGAGCUUUGAAGUCAUAUAAACAAUAAAUAAUAUUUUUUAUUUCUUCUUCUAAGGAAUUUUGACCCAUCUAGGU
Long non-coding RNA from Aethalodelphis obliquidens (Pacific white-sided dolphin), 794 nucleotides. RefSeq lists it as uncharacterized. The record is from RefSeq and is a predicted model, not a curated record. The transcript has 4 exons. NCBI's taxonomy places the organism in Eukaryota, Metazoa, Chordata, Mammalia, Artiodactyla, Delphinidae.